AUGGUGCUCUGGGACAUGAUCCACGCAGCCACAGCGGUCGGUCUGGCGCUGCCGCACUCGCCGUCCUGGUAUGGCCUCACCAUCGGGGGGCUGCUCGUGACGGGCGCGCACGGGAGCUCGCUGUGGGGAAAGGGCAGCGCCGUGCACGAGUACAUGGUCGGGAUGAGGAUCGUGACGUUGGUGCCAGCGAGCCAGGGAUUCGCUGUGGUCAGGGAGCUCGGCCACAAACACCCAGACCUCAACGCGGCCAAGGUCUCCCUCGGCGUUCUUGGCGUCGUCUCACAGGUUACUCUGCAGCUGCAACCAAUGUUCAAGCGGUCGGUCACGUUCGUCGAGCGCGACGACUUGGACUUCGUGGCACAGGUGGCUCUGUGGGCCGAUCGGCACAAGUUUGGCGACAUGACGUGGCUGCCACGGCGGGCCAAGGUCAUCUACCGCGAGGACGGACGCGUUGAUGUCUCGUCGCCUGGCAAUGGCCUCAACAACUACCUCGGUUUCCGCUCUAACCCGACGCUCGGGCUUAUGCCAGAGUCGCAGAGGAAUGCCUAG
RNAcentral lists this ribosomal RNA (549 nucleotides) under Triticum aestivum (bread wheat). RNAcentral describes it as "partial small subunit ribosomal RNA". Lineage: Eukaryota; Viridiplantae; Streptophyta; Magnoliopsida; Poales; Poaceae. The record is from RNAcentral.